Molecule: ribosomal RNA, 207 nt
Filed under: Staphylococcus aureus
Lineage: Bacteria; Bacillati; Bacillota; Bacilli; Caryophanales; Staphylococcaceae
Also listed under: 1 other name
Description: partial 16S ribosomal RNA
Rfam family: Bacterial small subunit ribosomal RNA
Source: RNAcentral
UUUUAUGGAGAGUUUGAUCCUGGCUCAGGAUGAACGCUGGCGGCGUGCCUAAUACAUGCAAGUCGAGCGAACGGACGAGAAGCUUGCUUCUCUGAUGUUAGCGGCGGACGGGUGAGUAACACGUGGAUAACCUACCUAUAAGACUGGGAUAACUUCGGGAAACCGGAGCUAAUACCGGAUAAUAUUUUGAACCGCAUGGUUCAAAAG